GAUGAACGCUGGCGGCGUGCCUAAUACAUGCAAGUCGAGCGAACGGACGAGAAGCUUGCUUCUCUGAUGUUAGCGGCGGACGGGUGAGUAACACGUGGAUAACCUACCUAUAAGACUGGGACAACUUCGGGAAACCGGAGCUAAUACCGGAUGAUAUUUUGAACCGCAUGGUUCAAAAGUGAAAGACGGUCUUGCUGUCACUUAUAGAUGGAUCCGCGCUGCAUUAGCUAGUUGGUAAGGUAACGGCUUACCAAGGCAACGAUGCAUAGCCGACCUGAGAGGGUGAUCGGCCACACUGGAACUGAGACACGGUCCAGACUCCUACGGGAGGCAGCAGUAGGGAAUCUUCCGCAAUGGGCGAAAGCCUGACGGAGCAACGCCGCGUGAGCGAUGAAGGUCUUCGGAUCGUAAAACUCUGUUAUUAGGGAAGAACAUAUGUGUAAGUAACUGUGCACAUCUUGACGGUACCUAAUCAGAAAGCCACGGCUAACUACGUG
This 497-nucleotide ribosomal RNA is filed under the name uncultured bacterium. RNAcentral's name for it is "partial 16S ribosomal RNA". It matches the Rfam family "Bacterial small subunit ribosomal RNA", at positions 28 to 507 of the family's 1533-position model. The record is from RNAcentral.